GGAGAGUUCGAUCCUGGCUCAGGAUUAACGCUUGUGAUAUGCUUAACACAUGCAAGUUAAAUUUUUUUAUGGUAAAAAUUAUUUAAAAAUAAAUAAUAAUUUAGCGUACGGGUGAGUAAUAUAUAAGAAUUUACUUUUAUAAUUUAAUUAAUAUUAAAUAUAAUGUUGAAAAUCAAAAAAAAAUUUAUAAAAAUAAGCUUAUAUUUGAUUAGUUAGUUGGUAAAAUAAAAGUUUACCAAGACAAUGAUCAAUAGUUGAUCUUAUCGGAUAAUCAACCACACUGAGAUUGAGAUACAGCUCAGAUUCUUUUUUAGAAGCAGCAGUGGGGAAUUUUUCGCAAUAAGCAAAAGCUUGACGAAUCAAUAUCGCGUGAAGGAAAAAGGCUUUUUUUAGUCAUAAACUUCUUUUUUUUAAGAAAAAAAAUAUGAUUAUUAUUUUAAGAAUAAGCAUCGGCUAAUUCUGUGCCAGCAGCCGCGGUAAUACAGGAGAUGCUAGUGUUAUCCAAAAUUAUUGGGCAUAAAAAGUUUUUAGAUUAUUUUUAUAAUUUAUUAUAAAAUUAUAAGAUUUAAUCUUAUAUAAUUAAUAAAAAUUAAAUUAUUAGAGUUUUUAAUUUAAGGGUAGAAGGAAUUUUUAGUGUAACAGUUAAAUGUGUUGAUAUUAAAAAGAACACCAAAGGCAAAAGCAUUCUACUUAAAAUAUACUGACUUUUAUAAACGAAAGCUAUAGUAGCAAACGGGAUUAGAUACCCCAUUAGUUUUAGCUGUAAAUUAUGAAUAUUAAAAAAAAUAUUAUUAUUUUUUUAUAGUAAAUACGUUAAAUAUUCUGCCUGAAAAUUAUAUUUGCAAAAAUUAAAUUCAAAGGAAUUGACGGGGACUUACAAAAGUGAUGGAGCAUGUGGUUUAAUUCGAUGCAAAACGAAAAAUCUUACCAAAAUUAUUAUAAAAAAUAAUAUAUUAAUAUAUAAUAAAUAAAAUAUUAUUUAUUAUAUAUUAAGGUGGUGCAUGGCUGUCAAAAGUUCGUGUCGUAAGAUGUUAAAAAAAAUUUAUAACGAACAAAACCCUAAUAUUUUAUUGUUAUAAUUUAUAAUAUUUUUUUAUAUUUUUAUAGUACUUUUAAUAAAAAAAAAGGAUUACGUCAAGUCAUCAUGCCCCUUUAUAUUUUGGGCUACACACAUGCUACAAUGGAUAAAUAACAAAAAAUUUAAAUUUAAUAAUAAUAAAUAAUUUAUUAAAUAUAAAAUUAUCCAAAAUUCGAAUUAUAAAUUGUAAAUCAUUUAUAUGAAGUUGGAAUCACUAGUAAUCACAGGUAAGAUAUACUGUGGUGAAUAUAAUUAUAAGUCUCGUACAUACCGCCCGUCACAUUUUGGAAAUUUUUUUAAUAAAAAUUUUAAAAUUAAAAUUAAAAAAUAAAUAAUAACUAAAAUGAAGUCGUAACAAGGUAGUUGUACUGGAAAGUGUGGCUAGAAUACCUCCAUUUUUUUAUUUUUUUUAAAAAAUUAAAUUAUUAUUAUAUUAUUAAUAUUAAAAUUCAAUAAAAAAGCUUAUAAUAAAAACUUAGAUAUUUUAAAUACUAAGAAGGACACAAAAAAAAAUAAAAUGUGAAUUUUUUAGUUAGUUUAUUAAAAAUAUAAAAUAUAUAACAUAAAUCUAAAAAUUUCCAAAUAAGUUAACUUUUUUUAUUAAAUUAAAAAUAUAAUUUAGAAAACUUGUUUAAUUGAAAUAUCUUAGUAUACAAAGAAAAAAAAAAGCAAAAGCGAUUUCUUUAGUAGUUAUGAACAAAAAAGAAAAAAGUCUAAAAAAAAAUUUAUAUUAAAUUUUUAAUUUUUUAGGGAAAAAAUAUAAAAUUUAAUAAUAAUAAUAAAUAAAUAAUAAAAUAUUAUACCUUAGAUGGUUAUAGUCCAGUAAUUUUAUUAUUAUUAAAUUUUAAUAAAAAAAUAAAUCCCAAGUAAUAUAAUAAAAUUUUAUAUUAUAUUAAUUUAACAAGGACCACCUUGUAAGACUAAAUAUUAAAAAAUAAUCUAUAGUGUAUUUUAGUACCGUGAGGGAAAGUUGAAAAAGAAUUAUAAGUGAAAAAGAAAGAAUAAAAUUAUAAGUUAACAAACUAUAGAAAAUAAAUUAAUAUUUAAUAAUUUAUUAACUAUGUGCUUGUUGAAGAAUGAACCAGCGACUUUUUAAUAUUGGUUUUUUUAUUUAUUAAAAAUUAUAAUAGAUUAAAUAUAUUAUAAUAUAAUUUAUAAUAUUUAAAAUAUGAAAUCAUAGUGAAAACAAUUAAUAAAAUAAUAAAUAUUUUUAAAAUAAAAUCAAUAUUUAUAAACCCGAAUCUAAGUGAUC
Molecule: ribosomal RNA, 2330 nt
Filed under: Balanophora japonica
Lineage: Eukaryota; Viridiplantae; Streptophyta; Magnoliopsida; Santalales; Balanophoraceae
Description: partial 16S ribosomal RNA
Rfam family: Bacterial small subunit ribosomal RNA (bases 1-1475)
Source: RNAcentral